GGGCCUUUCUUUUGCUCCCAUCUGUUUCUGGAACGCUUCCGUCAGCCCCAAGGUUUCCUUUGCUGCUCUUGUACAGCUCAGUGCCUUCCCGUGAAGUCUCUGUUCCCUCUUUCAUGGUUCUCGUUGCGGAAUCUCCACCCUGGGACUCCAAACUGGACAGACGGAAGGCUUUCUGGGGCUGCUCUGGUUAGUGCUUUAAGCUCUGAAAUCUGUGGAGCAGACAGUGGAACACCAUGAAGCCCCUGUUCGUGCGUCGCUGGUAUGCAGCCCAAUAAGCUCGGUGGCUGGCGAUAGAGUGAGGUGCGUGUAUCUGGCUGAGAGCUGAGCUUAAGAAAAGCCCCGGGCCCCAGAGGCCGUUUUCUUCAUCCUCACGUAGUGCAAUCCAGUCUCCACUGCUCCAGCAUGCUGAACACAAGUAUUCUGUGCCUGUUUUGUCUGGUUCUCUCCUAGAGCUCCACUACGAAUUUGUCAGUAGUAACAGAUGGCAGGGCACAGUUCUCCGAGCGCCUUGUGGGCCACCACCCCAGGGUCCCGGGGCUCUUCCUGUUUUUAUGGCAGAUCUGGCUUCGUAUUUAUAGGAAACAAAGGACCGUCCUCUACUGGACCGCUCCGUCUGGAUCACCCCAGAUAGCUCCAUCCCAAUUGUCAGGGGAUGCUGUUAGUUUCCCAGUCCGUACGACACCCGACCUCCCCAGCCCUCUUCCUUCCAUCCCCUGAGCCCCGUUAAGUCGCUGGCUGUGCAGCUGUGGGACCCAACAGUGUGAUGAAGCAACGCCUCUGGUGCGCUGAAUGCUGGGACCGGCACAGAGAGGCUCCGUGGCUGACGUGGCUCUUCCUGCUUGGACUGCUUGCUGAGUUUCCCCGGAGCUGUUGAGCACGCGGGCUUCCCCGCCUGCCCUGAUUGCUCACCAGGCCAUCCACGUCCUUUGUGUCAUCGUGCCUCAGGGCUUCCGGUACCGUGCCAUAGACUCCUUGGAGUCGGAAGGGACCGUUUAUGAUGAUCUGGUCCCACUCCCCCACGAUGAACAGGGACAGCCACAGCUAGACCAGGCUGCCCAGAGCCUGAUCCAGCCUCACCUUGGAAGGGACAGGGCGUCCACCGCAUCUCCGGGCAGCCUGUUCCACUGCACAGAAUCGCAGAAUGACAGAAUGGCCCGGGUUGGAAGGGACCUCGAGGAUGACGAGUCUCCAACCCCCCUGCCACACGCAGGCCGCCGACCUCCCCAUGUCACAGCAGACCAGGCUGCCCAGGGCCCCAUCCACGCUGGCCUCGAACACCUCCGGGGAUGGACGGGGAUCCACAGCC
This is a non-coding RNA of Meleagris gallopavo (turkey), 1306 nucleotides long. NCBI's taxonomy places the organism in Eukaryota, Metazoa, Chordata, Aves, Galliformes, Phasianidae. The record is from RefSeq and is a predicted model, not a curated record.